Molecule: long non-coding RNA, 450 nt
Organism: Anneissia japonica
Lineage: Eukaryota; Metazoa; Echinodermata; Crinoidea; Comatulida; Comatulidae
Exons: 3
Source: RefSeq, a predicted model, not a curated record
CUUUAAUGCGCCCUCUUCACCUAUAUUAUGGAAUAACGUUUUUGUAUCACACAGUUUGCUAGUCGUGCGAAUGGUGAAAUCGCCGUUCUCUUGUCAGGAUCUAAUGCCGAUGGCGCUUAUCGCAACACAAGUACCUUUGCAAGAAUUGAGUUACCAAAUCUAAACCCGGAAACAAUCAGUAAUGUCCGUAUCAUUGUUUCACAUGACAUUGGGACAACAAGUCCAAAGCAUGAGACCUGCAAUGAUGGUUCGUUGCUUACUCUGAAGGCAGACUUGGACAAGCGUGAAAUUAAAUACACGUGUGAAGAGGAUGAAUAGUAAGUGAUAGCGAUGUGCAUAUAUAGAGACACACAUGCUUAAAGAAGAAUGAUGCAAUUUUACGAAAGCCUAUUCGUGCCACUUAAGUAUAUAAAAUUAUCAAAAUGUAAUCCGAAAUAAAGGAUUAGUAAU